GAAACUGGAAACUCGGCUAAAGUCACUCACGUCCUGUGAGUAACGCCGAGUACCUACGUCCUGUAGG
Molecule: small RNA, 67 nt
Filed under: Halalkalibacter nanhaiisediminis
Lineage: Bacteria; Bacillati; Bacillota; Bacilli; Caryophanales; Bacillaceae
Description: Bacillus sp. NH3 Bacillaceae-1 RNA
Rfam family: Bacillaceae-1 RNA
Source: Rfam by way of RNAcentral